RNAcentral lists this ribosomal RNA (498 nucleotides) under uncultured soil bacterium. Its description in RNAcentral is "bacterial SSU rRNA". It matches the Rfam family "Bacterial small subunit ribosomal RNA", at positions 26 to 507 of the family's 1533-position model. The record is from RNAcentral.
AGAUUGAACGCUGGCGGCAUGCUUUACACAUGCAAGUCGAGCGGCAGCGCGGGGCAACCUGGCGGCGAGCGGCGAACGGGUGAGUAAUAGAUAGGAACGUGUCCGGGAGUGGGGGAUAACUAGCCGAAAGGUUAGCUAAUACCGCAUAUUCUCCAAGGAGGAAAGCGGGGGACCAGAAAUGGCCUCGCGCUCGCGGAGUGGCCUAUCUCCGAUUAGCUAGUUGGUGAGGUAAAGGCUCACCAAGGCGACGAUCGGUAGCUGGUCUGAGAGGAUGAUCAGCCACACUGGGACUGAGACACGGCCCAGACUCCUACGGGAGGCAGCAGUGGGAAUUUUGGACAAUGGGGGCAACCCUGAUCCAGCCAUGCCGCGUGCGGGAAGAAAGGCCGUUCGGUUGGUAACCGUACGUUUAAUUACGGUAAAGAAGGAGGUAGGAGGUUAAUACCGUACCUAUGAACGAGGUACCGGUAUAGAAUAAGUACACCGGACUAACACGUA